RNAcentral lists this ribosomal RNA (497 nucleotides) under uncultured bacterium. Its description in RNAcentral is "partial 16S ribosomal RNA". It matches the Rfam family "Bacterial small subunit ribosomal RNA", at positions 28 to 507 of the family's 1533-position model. The record is from RNAcentral.
GACGAACGCUGGCGGCGUGCCUAACACAUGCAAGUCGAGCGCUGAAGCUUUGUCCUUGUACCCACUGGAUGAGCAGCGAACGGGUGAGUAACGCGUGGGUAAUCUGCCUUUGAGCGGGGGACAACAUUUGGAAACGAAUGCUAAUACCGCAUAAAAACUUUAAACACAAGUUUUAAGUUUGAAAGAUGCAUUUGCAUCACUCAAAGAUGAUCCCUCGUUGUAUUAGCUGGUUGGUGAGGUAAAGGCUCACCAAGGCGAGGAUACAUAGCCGACCUGGGAGGGGGGUCGGCCAAAUUGGGACUGAGACACGGCCCAAGCUCCUACGGGAGGGCGCAGUAGGGGAUCUUCGGCAAUGGGGGAAAAUCUGGACGAACAACGCCGGGGGAGUGAAGAAGGUUCUCGGGUCGUAAAACUCGGUUGGUAGGGAAGAACGUUGGGGAGAGUGGAACGCUCAUCAAGUGACGGUAACUACACAGAAAGCAACGGCUAACUACGUG